Molecule: ribosomal RNA, 551 nt
Filed under: Curvularia hawaiiensis
Lineage: Eukaryota; Fungi; Ascomycota; Dothideomycetes; Pleosporales; Pleosporaceae
Description: eukaryotic LSU rRNA
Rfam family: 5.8S ribosomal RNA (bases 171-324)
Source: RNAcentral
GGAGAUUUUGGUUAAAGGUCCUGCACGGUCCGAGGGCUGGACUAUUUAUUACCCUUGUCUUUUGCGCACUUGUUGUUUCCUGGGCGGGUUCGCUCGCCACCAGGACCACAAUAUAAACCUUUUUUAUGCAGUUGCAAUCAGCGUCAGUAUAACAAAUGUAAAUCAUUUACAACUUUCAACAACGGAUCUCUUGGUUCUGGCAUCGAUGAAGAACGCAGCGAAAUGCGAUACGUAGUGUGAAUUGCAGAAUUCAGUGAAUCAUCGAAUCUUUGAACGCACAUUGCGCCCUUUGGUAUUCCAAAGGGCAUGCCUGUUCGAGCGUCAUUUGUACCCUCAAGCUUUGCUUGGUGUUGGGCGUUUUUGUCCCCCCCAAAAAGGGGACUCGCCUUAAAAGGAUUGGCAGCCGGCCUACUGGUUUCGCAGCGCAGCACAUUUUUGCGCUUGCAAUCAGCAAAAGAGGACGGCAAUCCAUCAAGACUCCUUCUCACGUUUGACCUCGGAUCAGGUAGGGAUACCCGCUGAACUUAAGCAUAUCAAUAGGCCGGAGGAAA